UACAGAGGUCCCAAGCGUUGUUCGGAUUCACUGGGCGUAAAGGGUGCGCAGGUGGGCUGGCAAGUUCGAUGUGAAAGCCCCGGGCUUAACCCGGGAAUGGCAUUGGAAACUGCCGGUCUGGAGGGUUGGAGGGGGGACUGGAAUUCUUGGUGUAGCAGUGAAAUGCGUAGAUAUCAAGAGGAACACCAGUGGCGAAGGCGAGUCCCUGGACAAACCCUGACACUGAGGCACGAAAGCCAAGGGAGCAAACAGG
RNAcentral lists this ribosomal RNA (253 nucleotides) under uncultured bacterium. RNAcentral describes it as "partial 16S ribosomal RNA". It matches the Rfam family "Bacterial small subunit ribosomal RNA", at positions 524 to 776 of the family's 1533-position model. RNAcentral also lists the same sequence under 1 other name. The record is from RNAcentral.